CAAAUGGGGGUGUCAUUUAUCUAUGCCAACCCGACUGCCCUCUGCCCUCCCUCCAGUGCUCUUUGCCCUCACCCAGUAACCUAAUUUGCAUUUGAAAAAGAGCAGCGGUUGCAAUAGCACCUUGAGUUCCAGCCUUCAGCCAGCCUGGAGAGUGCAUCAGGAAUUUGGGUGGUCAUCUGCUGGGAAUCAGCAGUAUGCAGAAGACAGCAGGAGGUAAUUCUGCACCCACUUUACAUAUGAAGAAGCUGAAGUCUUGCAAAGUGGCCCAAGGUCUCCCAGGGAUGACCUGCUGGAAGCAAGCUAUGAAUCUAAGUCUCACCCCAAAGCUGCCUGUGUUCUCUUGUGAAAAGAACCACAAGCCAAAAGUUGGUAUGAUCUUUUGGGUCUCCCAGGGGUCAACAGACAAUGGUGAGCAGAAUGGAGAUAGUUUGCUAUAAAUAGGGAGAUAAAAUAUGUUGUUAGGUGGGUGCAUUGGGAGAGAGAUCCGAAAAUGGAAACGUGGAAUCAGAGGUAUAUUGACAUCUCACACAAGGAUAUCUGGUGUGUGAAGGGGUGGGUUUUGAGGGGCUAUCAGGGGAAAUUAAGAUCCAAUUAAAGGGCAAUAGACAUAUUGGAAUGAUUUAGGCUAUCUCAAGAGGAGGUUUCAACUUCUUUAUUGCCUUCCACCCAAUACAAAUAUGACACUUCUUUUCAUACUCUCCAUUCUGCUCUCAUGUUUGCCAGGAUCAAUACCCAAGGACAGACACCUCUCUAAGAGCUGUGAUUGAGCUUGGUAAGUAUUUCAGGAGCAAUUCAAAUAGAUUCUUUCAAAUCCUAAAAUGUGAAGUGAUAGCUUUUGUUUCUUUCAAUGGAGGGAAUGGGUUUAGAGUUUUAUAGAAAAUUGACUGAACACUUCAUUCUCCACUUCAUAUUGGCAGGCCAGGUACAAGGUAACUUUUUUUCUUUCUUCAACUCUUAUUUUAGAUUUAGGGGAUACUUGUGCAGAUUUGUUACCUGGGUAGAUCAUGUGAUACUGAGAUUAGGGAUAUGAACGAUCCUUUCACCUAGGUACUGCGCAUUAGUACUCAACGGUUUUUUUAUUUUUUAUUUUUUUAUUUUAUUUAUUUAUUUUUUUUAAAUUUUUUAUUGGAUUUUAGGUUUUGGGGUACAUGAGCAGAGCAUGCAAGACAGUUGCGUAGGAACACACAUGGCAGUGUGCUUUUCUUUCCUUUUCCCCUUCACCCACAUUUGGCAUUUCUCCCCAGGCUAUCCCCUCCCCACCUCCCCCUCCCACUGGUCCCACGGUUUGUUUUUCAACUCUUACCCCUCUUCCUCCCUCCUGCUUCUAGUAGUACCUCGUUUCUAUUGCUGCCCUUGUUGACACAGAUAACUGCCCUUUGUUUUUAUUUGUACUAUUUUGCAUUUUAGAUUUCCUAAGAACCACUUGCCCUCCAAGUUGGGCACAUUUAUUUAUGAACCCUUAGAGUCGUUGAUGUGAAAUUAUGAAGACUUUCUGUUGGUCUUGACGCUAUGAAUGGGGUUAUUUCCCAGGCAUGAAUAAGAAGUGGUUGACAUCAGUGUGUAA
This is a long non-coding RNA of Callithrix jacchus (white-tufted-ear marmoset), 1564 nucleotides long. NCBI's taxonomy places the organism in Eukaryota, Metazoa, Chordata, Mammalia, Primates, Cebidae. The record is from Ensembl.